AUCUAAAUAGCUUAUUUUAGAGUAUAAUAUUGAAGAUAUUAGGGAAGUUAUAUAACUUUUAGAUA
Molecule: transfer RNA, 65 nt
Filed under: Apteropeda ovulum
Lineage: Eukaryota; Metazoa; Arthropoda; Insecta; Coleoptera; Chrysomelidae
Description: tRNA-Phe
Source: RNAcentral